Molecule: ribosomal RNA, 253 nt
Filed under: uncultured bacterium
Lineage: Bacteria
Description: partial 16S ribosomal RNA
Rfam family: Bacterial small subunit ribosomal RNA
Source: RNAcentral
UACGUAGGGGGCAAGCGUUGUCCGGAUUUAUUGGGCGUAAAGAGCGUGUAGGCGGUCAGGUAGGUCCGUUGUGAAAACUCGAGGCUCAACUUCGAGCUGUCGGUGGAAACUGUCUGGCUAGAGUCCGGAAGAGGAGAAUGGAAUUCCUGGUGUAGCGGUGAAAUGCGCAGAUAUCAGGAAGAACACCCGUGGCGAAGGCGGUUCUCUGGGACGGUACUGACGCUGAGACGCGAAAGCGUGGGGAGCGAACAGG